AGUGAACGCUGGCGGUAGGCCUAACACAUGCAAGUCGAACGGCAGCACAGUAAGAGCUUGCUCUUACGGGUGGCGAGUGGCGGACGGGUGAGGAAUACAUCGGAAUCUACUUUUUCGUGGGGGGUAACGUAGGGAAACUUACGCUAAUACCGCAUACGACCUACGGGUGAAAGCAGGGGAUCUUCGGACCUUGCGCGAUUGAAUGAGCCGAUGUCGGAUUAGCUAGUUGGCGGGGUAAAGGCCCACCAAGGCGACGAUCCGUAGCUGGUCUGAGGGGAUGAUCAGCCACACUGGAACUGAGACACGGUCCAGACUCCUACGGGAGGCAGCAGUGGGGAAUAUUGGACAAUGGGCGCAAGCCUGAUCCAGCCAUACCGCGUGGGUGAAGAAGGCCUUCGGGUUGUAAAGCCCUUUUGUUGGGAAAGAAAAGCAGCAGGUUAAUACCCCGCUGUUCUGACGGUACCCAAAGAAUAAGCACCGGCUAACUUCGUG
This 492-nucleotide ribosomal RNA is filed under the name uncultured bacterium. RNAcentral describes it as "partial 16S ribosomal RNA". It matches the Rfam family "Bacterial small subunit ribosomal RNA", at positions 29 to 507 of the family's 1533-position model. The record is from RNAcentral.